AGAGUUUGAUCCUGGCUCAGGACGAACGCUGGCGGCGUGCCUAACACAUGCAAGUCGAACGGCCCAGCACUUAACAGAGCAUAUAAGGGAAGUGGCUAGUGUAAAGCACAAUAGGUGCAUAUAAGCUAAGCAUUAACUCAUAUGCUGCGUUAAGUGCUGGGUAGUGGCGGACGGGUGAGUAACGCGUGGGCAACCAACCCUGUACAGUGGGAUAACACCGGGAAACCGGUGCUAAUACCGCAUGACACCUAGACAGUGCAUACUGACUAGGUUAAAGGAUUUAGCCGGUACAGGACGGGCCCGCGUCCCAUUAGCUAGUUGGUGAGGUAACGGCUCACCAAGGCGACGAUGGGUAGCCGACCUGAGAGGGUGACCGGCCACACUGGGACUGAGACACGGCCCAGACUCCUACGGGAGGCAGCAGUGGGGAAUAUUGCGCAAUGGAGGGAACUCUGACGCAGCGACGCCGCGUGAGCGAAGAAGGCCUUCGGGUCGUAAAGCUCUGUUCUUGGGGACGAAUAAGGUGACGGUACCCAAGGAGAAAGCCCCGGCUAACUACGUGCCAGCAGCCGCGGUAAU
This 579-nucleotide ribosomal RNA is filed under the name uncultured bacterium. RNAcentral's name for it is "bacterial SSU rRNA". It matches the Rfam family "Bacterial small subunit ribosomal RNA", at positions 8 to 524 of the family's 1533-position model. The record is from RNAcentral.